CCGAGUGCUUGCACUCAAUUGGAAAGAGGAGUGGCGGACGGGUGAGUAACACGUGGGUAACCUACCCAUCAGAGGGGGAUAACACUUGGAAACAGGUGCUAAUACCGCAUAACAGUUUAUGCCGCAUGGCAUAAGAGUGAAAGGCGCUUUCGGGUGUCGCUGAUGGAUGGACCCGCGGUGCAUUAGCUAGUUGGUGAGGUAACGGCUCACCAAGGCCACGAUGCAUAGCCGACCUGAGAGGGUGAUCGGCCACACUGGGACUGAGACACGGCCCAGACUCCUACGGGAGGCAGCAGUAGGGAAUCUUCGGCAAUGGACGAAAGUCUGACCGAGCAACGCCGCGUGAGUGAAGAAGGUUUUCGGAUCGUAAAACUCUGUUGUUAGAGAAGAACAAGGACGUUAGUAACUGAACGUCCCCUGACGGUAUCUAACCAGAAAGCCACGGCUAACUACGUGCCAGCAGCCGCGGUAAUACGUAGGUGGCAAGCGUUGUCCGGAUUUAUUGGGGCGUA
This 512-nucleotide ribosomal RNA is filed under the name uncultured bacterium. RNAcentral's name for it is "bacterial SSU rRNA". It matches the Rfam family "Bacterial small subunit ribosomal RNA", at positions 62 to 562 of the family's 1533-position model. The record is from RNAcentral.